Molecule: ribosomal RNA, 2432 nt
Filed under: Strigamia svenhedini
Lineage: Eukaryota; Metazoa; Arthropoda; Chilopoda; Geophilomorpha; Linotaeniidae
Description: partial 28S ribosomal RNA
Rfam family: Eukaryotic large subunit ribosomal RNA
Source: RNAcentral
GGAUUCCCCCAGUAACUGCGAGUGAAAAGGGAAGAGCCCAGCGCCGAAGCCGCCGUCCAUCACAGUGGGCGGAGGGCAAUGUGGCGUUAAGGAAGAGCCUCCUUGACCAGACGUUUCGUUGUUCGGACCGCGGGAGCCCGAGUCCCCCUGACCGGGGCCAUCGCCCAUGGCGGGUGCAAGGCCUCUUCGGCUCCGUUCGACGGUUCGAAGGUUGCUGGCUUCUUUCCUCAGAGUCGGGUUGCUUGAGAGUGCAGCCCUAAGCGGGUGGUAAACUCCACCUAAGGCUAAAUAUCACCACGAGACCGAUAGCGAACAAGUACCGUGAGGGAAAGUUGCAAAGAACUUUGAAGAGAGAGUUCAAGAGUACGUGAAACCGCUCGGAGGCAAACGGGUGGGCCCUCGAAGGUCGAACGGGGGAAUUCAGCCUGUCGGCGAGCGCUUCCCGCUGUUGAAAAGCAUUCGUGCGAAACGGAUCCGAAAACAAAGCGGACCGGGCGGCGGGUUUCAAAACAUAAAAAGCGUUUGUCGGCUCGUGCACUUUCCCCUUAGUAGGACGCCGCGACCGGUCGGGUCGAAUAUCAAAAAGUUUUGCGGCCAUGAGGCGAGAACGAUCACGGGGGCAGGUGUCCGUUUCCGCGGGUCUCGUUCAGCGUGCGCGGCGAUCUCGGUCGUCGCGUCUUCGUCUGGCGUUUCCUAGGUUCGGAGUUACAGCCCCUUCUCGACCCGUGCACCGCCACCCGACCGACAAAUGGUCACGUAUCCGUUGACGCGUGCCCGCGUGAAACCUAAAGGUUGAACGCUCGCUCUAGUCCAGGGCAGGCCGGAUGUACGAGUAAAAUUCCCGCAUUGACCCGCUUUAAAAAGCGGGUAGGGGAUCCGACGGACGCCGAAAGCAAAAAACCGAAAAGGCGGCCGUCGGCUCUGCGUCUGCCGUUUCGCCCACGUGGAAUUGGACUCUGGCGUAGAGGCAAAGAAACGCUCGCGGUCGGCNNNNNNNNNNNNNNNNNNNNNNNNNNNNNNNNNNNNNNNNNNNNNNNNNNNNNNNNNNNNNNNNNNNNNNNNNNNNNNNNNNNNNNNNNNNNNNNNNNNNNNNNNNNNNNNNNCAUGUGUGCAAGUCGUAGGGUCUGCUUUUUAACGAGCUAAACCCGAUGGCGAAAUGAAAGUAAAGGCCGCCCCCUUCAACGGGGGACACAGAACGGCCGAGGCGAGAUCCUAAAAAAGCCGCGCCGUUCGUCUUCGGGCGUUCGGCCGGCGAAAUUUUUAAAAGAAACCGGACAUGGCAGGCACGCCGGCCCUUCGGCGGCGUCAAAACCGUCGUUGCAGGUCGGCGGUCCGGAGGCGCAUCGCCGGCCCGUCUCGAUUGCUCCGAUCGUCCGCGCCCUUCUCUCUAUUUCCGUCGGCUCUCGGGCCUCGGAUCGGAGUCGGGCAAGGUCGUGAGGAACUGUAGUCAAUGAGGCGGAGCAAGAGCACACACGUUGGGACCCGAAAGAUGGUGAACUAUGCCCGGGCAGGACGAAGCCAGAGGAAACUCUGGUGGAGGUCCGCAGCGAUUCUGACGUGCAAAUCGAUCGUCGGACCUGGGUAUAGGGGCGAAAGACUAAUCGAACCGUCUAGUAGCUGGUUCCCUCCGAAGUUUCCCUCAGGAUAGCUGGCGCUCGGAAUACGAAAAAUAACAAAAAUGAUGAAACAGUCUCAUCCGGUAAAGCGAAUGAUUAGAGGCAUUGGGGCCGAAACGGCCUCAACCUAUUCUCAAACUUUCAAUGGGUGAGAUGUCCGGCUUUCUUAACGCUAAACACGGGGGGCGGAUUUCGUCCGGAGCCCGCGGGCGUGUCGCUUCUUUUUCUUUCUCGUCGGUCUUUUCGGAGGUCGUCGGGGGGUUGGAGAUGGCUUCGCGCUUUAGCGGAUACUUCGGCGGCCGCGCAACCCUUUGAAGCACGGACGUAGGAUGCGAGUGCCCAGUGGGCCACUUUUGGUAAGCAGAACUGGCGCUAUGGGAUGAACCAAAAGCCGGGUUACGGCGCCCGAUGCGGACGCUUAUCAGACCCCAUGAAAGGUGUUGGUUGCUAUUGACAGCAGGACGGUGGCCAUGGAAGUCGGAAUCCGCUAAGGAGUGUGUAACAACUCACCUGCCGAAGCAACUAGCCCUGAAAAUGGAUGGCGCUCCAGCGUCGAGCCUAACCCCGGCCGCCGGACGGCAUUGAAAAUUGAACUGAUUAUAAAAAAUCGAUGCCCCGGCGAGUAGGAGGGUCGCGGUGGUGAGCGUUGAAGGGAUCGGGCGCGAGCCUGCCUGGAGCCGCCACCGGUGCAGAUCUUGGUGGUAGUAGCAAAUACUCGAGUGAGAACCUUGAGGACUGAAGUGGAGAAGGGUUCCAUGUGAACAGCAGUUGAACAUGGGUCAGUCGGCCCUAAGGAAUAGGGGAAACCCGUUCUGA